CGGAGGGGGGGGGGCCUAUACUGCAGUCGAGCGACUGAUUAGAAGCUUGCUUCUAUGACGUUAGCGGCGGACGGGUGAGUAACACGUGGGCAACCUGCCUGUAAGACUGGGAUAACUUCGGGAAACCGAAGCUAAUACCGGAUAGGAUCUUCUCCUUCAUGGGAGAUGAUUGAAAGAUGGUUUCGGCUAUCACUUACAGAUGGGCCCGCGGUGCAUUAGCUAGUUGGUGAGGUAACGGCUCACCAAGGCAACGAUGCAUAGCCGACCUGAGAGGGUGAUCGGCCACACUGGGACUGAGACACGGCCCAGACUCCUACGGGAGGCAGCAGUAGGGAAUCUUCCGCAAUGGACGAAAGUCUGACGGAGCAACGCCGCGUGAGUGAUGAAGGCUUUCGGGUCGUAAAACUCUGUUGUUAGGGAAGAACAAGUACGAGAGUAACUGCUCGUACCUUGACGGUACCUAACCAGAAAGCCACGGCUAACUACGUGCCAGCAGCCGCGGUAAUACGUAGGUGGCAAGCGUUAUCCGGAAUUAUUGGGCGUAAAGCGCGCGCAGGCGGUUUCUUAAGUCUGAUGUGAAAGCCCACGGCUCAACCGUGGAGGGUCAUUGGAAACUGGGGAACUUGAGUGCAGAAGAGAAAAGCGGAAUUCCACGUGUAGCGGUGAAAUGCGUAGAGAUGUGGAGGAACACCAGUGGCGAAGGCGGCUUUUUGGUCUGUAACUGACGCUGAGGCGCGAAAGCGUGGGGAGCAAACAGGAUUAGAUACUCUGGUAGUCCACGCCGUAAACGAUGAGUGCUAAGUGUUAGAGGGUUUCCGCCCUUUAGUGCUGCAGCUAACGCAUUAAGCACUCCGCCUGGGGAGUACGGGUCGCAAGACUGAAACUCAAAGGAAUUGACGGGGGCCCGCACAAGCGGUGGAGCAUGUGGUUUAAUUCGAAGCAACGCGAAGAACCUUUACCAGGUCUUGACAUCUUCUGACAACUCUAGAGAUAGAGCGUUCCUUUC
RNAcentral lists this ribosomal RNA (1006 nucleotides) under Bacillus sp. G-10. RNAcentral describes it as "bacterial SSU rRNA". It matches the Rfam family "Bacterial small subunit ribosomal RNA", at positions 34 to 1021 of the family's 1533-position model. Lineage: Bacteria; Bacillati; Bacillota; Bacilli; Caryophanales; Bacillaceae. The record is from RNAcentral.